Long non-coding RNA from Bos indicus x Bos taurus (hybrid cattle), 1284 nucleotides. The record is from Ensembl. NCBI's taxonomy places the organism in Eukaryota, Metazoa, Chordata, Mammalia, Artiodactyla, Bovidae.
CUGUAGCUAAGACUGUUUGUGUUUAAAUUUUUAACUCUCCUUUGAUGGUUAGAUCUUAUUUCAUUUUUCAUAAAUAAAAGUUAAACCUUUUGUGACAGCAACUCGAGAACAAGCAAUGACCCUGAUUGUCUCUGUCUCAACACAAUUUCAAAUAGACACCUAAAACAUACUUCACAUAUAACAUUUUCAUGACUGAACUUGGGGAUUCCUCUGUGCUGAGCACACAUAUUAGGAACUCAGUAAAUAUUGGUUGAUUUAAUUCAGUAUACACCUGGAAACUGAUAAAGAAGUGCUUCUUCGUGUUGGCCGUCAUGAAAUUACAUUAUGGUUGUUUGUGGUAGUCCUGUGAAGCAGAGCUUUCACUUUCCCCUAGAAAUAGUUGGAAAAGCAAACAACUGUCUAGAUAACAGGGGUAAACAUGAAUAAAAUACAUUUACAGUAUCCUACCUUGAUGACAGAUUUGCAAAUCUGUCUGCUUAAAUGUUCAAGAAACAGAAAAAUUGCACAGGAAAUAAAAACCUGUGUAUUUUCCUAUCAAAACUGGUGAAGAAUAUCUGGCUUAAUUAUGGGAACCUGCACCCUGAGAAUGACACAGAUAACAGAAAGUAAGUAUAGAAGAGUCUGGAAACCUUACGCAUUGUGAGAAAUUGUGGCGAGGACUGGGUGGUACAGCAGGUAAGAAUUUUUCUUUGAUGUUAGGCACUAUUGGAGAGCUUUGCUCUUUUUAGAUUUCUGUUCAUAGUCAAGUUUUAAUCCUUGAGCUCCCGAGGCUGGUCUGGGGUUAGUUACCAUCAAGAGUUACCCAUUUUCGAAGCCCUUACUCUCGCAGCUCCUGUGGCUUUUUUCCUAAGUCAGUUUUACCGUCCUUGCCAUUUUUUCCCCCUCAAAGAGUUCUCCCUAGAGGUUCCUAAGUUUUUAUGAGCUUCUUGAGAGUGCCGACCAGUUUGCCAGAGGGCUUCAGUGUUGCUAAAUCCUGAGUCAAACUCUCUGCCCUUUCCCCCAGGCUUACUAGGCUCUAGCAGUGGAAUAGAAACAAGCAGGAAAUGGGAACUAACUGUAGAGAGACAAGGGGCCCCGUCUGGAGCAUGAACUUGGUUUGAAGACCAACUCUACAGCUGUACUGCUAACCCUGCCCUCAAUUUUAGACUGCCCUGGACGUUGAGGAUUCACUCUGGCUAUCUCUCAAGUGAUUUUUAAAAUUCAAAUUACUUUAACUUACCAGUGGGAAAGACUGUGGUUUUUCCAUAAAAUAAAAAACUGCCACAUUUAUACUAUAUUUGGUUU